RNA transcript from Chenopodium quinoa (quinoa), 1871 nucleotides. RefSeq lists it as uncharacterized. The record is from RefSeq and is a predicted model, not a curated record. NCBI's taxonomy places the organism in Eukaryota, Viridiplantae, Streptophyta, Magnoliopsida, Caryophyllales, Amaranthaceae. The transcript has 2 exons.
AACAAUAAUUGAGAGGGGAAUAGAAUCUAACCACCUAGAACGAUCUCCGAAUCUAGAGCAUUCCAAUUCCCAAAGGAUGGAACUGUAAUGAAAAUUAAAGUAACCCAAGUAAGGGUGUCCUCUCUCCUGCUUGUGAUUUCAUAUCACAAAAGCAAGUUCCCUAAUCCCCUCAAUUGUCACUUUCAUCCAUCACGUACAACCACCACCUCCAUCUCGUCGUCCACUCCAUCGAUGCCCCUCCGUCGCCGCCAAAUCCACAUUACCUCCUUCAUCUUCGCUGCCCAGUACUCCAUUUUCACCCACGGUGCCUUGUUCAGUUCGACGCUCACGCUUGUCUUCAUUGAAGAUCGGCGACCACCACCAAUCGGAAGUAUCUACCUCCACUGUAGACUCUUGCACCUAGUCAAGUUAACUCCUUUUCUGUCUCAUUCAUUUUCAACAAUUGAGGAAGUGUAAAUGUAAUUAUGCAGCAGUAAAUUAUUGAACAAAAAGCUUAUAGAACACCAUUGAUUUGGUUCUUACGACUCAUCCUACUUUAUCAAUCUGUAGAUCUUUGCUUCAGAAACAUGGAAGGUCUGCUUUUGAACUACUCUGCUUUUAAAACUUGUAAGGCCACAAUCAUGAUUUUGAUAUGCUUAUUAAGUUAGUUGUUUACUUUAUUAGGACUUAGGUUUUUCUUGAUUAUGCAUCCUAAUCCUAAUUCCCAAAGUUGAGUGGAUUGCGUAUGGAUUAUUCUGAUAUUUAUUCUUUAUGGACUGAUGGGGUUAGGAUUCUUGAAAAAUGAGAUUAAAAUUUGAUCUCCUUAGAAUGAUACAAUGAUACCUGGUGAAUUUGGGAUCUUCUAAACACUAUGUGUUUCUUUCAGUCGUUCAUUGUGUCCCUGUUAUCUUCCAACAUCAGCUAGUAGCCGAUCUAUCAUGCAAUCUAAUGAAAUCAUGAAAAAUGUUCUGCUGAUUGUACCCUUAAAAUGUUGUUGAGGCCUAUGUCUCAGCUACUUUUCAUAUUAGCUUACGACUUAUAACUGUUUGAGCUUGAUAAUAAUCAUUGGUCUGUACUUGAAAUCAUUCUAAUCGACACUACUGUCUAGUACAGGAUAGGAACUGGUGGUUGUAAAUUUAUAAGCAGUGCUGGAGAAACCGAGCUUGAGCUUCAAAGGUUUGUGUGUAUCAGUGAAGGUUACAAUGCAAAUUACACUGUUAAUAUUGAUUAAACAUUAAAUCAUAUAGAGCGAUUACUUGCCCUAUUGUUUCUAGUCUUUCUACUUAUAAACCUUGAUUUUUUGGGUAUAAAAAUGUUAUUUCUUUUCAAUAUGUAGCAUUAGUUUUGUUUCUUAUAAUUGUGUAAUCAAUGCUAAUCCUGAAACCAGUGUACUUGCAAAAAAUCACACUUUGGAGGAGCUUAAUAUUUGGAGCCAAUUUUUUUUUUUGUAUGGAAGUAUAGUUUAUACUUUCUUUCUUAGUGUUCUAUAUUCUCCUCCUUGAGUAAUGUCUGUUACAUUGGCUCAUACUCCUUGAGUAUAUGCAAAUAUACUUCUUCUGAUUGCAAUGAACUAAAUUUUGGACUUAUAAUGACUAGAUCUCAGAAAGAAGAAAGCACCUAUUAGCAGAAAUUGAAGAAGUUUGUGCUUUGUAGUGUGCUGGGCAGAGAAACAAAGGUGUUUUAAAUACUUCACUGUUGUCGUUGUUGGACGCUGUUGUUGCUCUGUGCUAGACACUACUACUUGCUUAUUGUUGUUUCUCUAAUCAUACUGUACUCUUUGUUUUUUUGAAAGACAAUUAUAGUGUACUCUAAUUGAUUUAUUACUUCAUUUUUUUGGGAUGAAAAGUGUAAAUUUACAAUUUAUUAAUACAAAUAUCUAAGUUUUAUGCAUA